UGCCAUUGCAGAAGGAAGUAGGAUGAUAU
Molecule: non-coding RNA, 29 nt
Filed under: Rattus norvegicus (Norway rat)
Lineage: Eukaryota; Metazoa; Chordata; Mammalia; Rodentia; Muridae
Source: RNAcentral